This 374-nucleotide long non-coding RNA is filed under the name Pan troglodytes (chimpanzee). RNAcentral describes it as "long non-coding RNA NONPTRT008558". Lineage: Eukaryota; Metazoa; Chordata; Mammalia; Primates; Hominidae. The record is from RNAcentral.
UGCUCCCCUUCCUCAAAUCAGGAGGUCUUGGAAGCAGCUGCCCCUACCCACAGGCCAGAAGUUCUGGUUCUCCACCAGAGAAUCAGCAUUCUGUCUCCCUCCCCACUCCCUCCUCCUCUCCCCAGGGACAGUGAGGUCCCAGGCCCCACACCCAUGGAACUGGAGGCCGAGCAGCUGCUUGAGCCACACGUGCAAGCGCCCAGCCUGGAGCCCUCGGUGUCCCCACAGGAUGAAACAGCUGAAGUGGCAGUUCCAGCGGCUGUCCCUGCGGCAGAGGCUGAGGCCGAGGUGACGCUGCGGGAGCUCCAGGAAGCCCUGGAGGAGGAGGUGCUCACCCGGCAGAGCCUGAGCCGGGAGAUGGAGGCCAUCCGCAC